RNAcentral lists this ribosomal RNA (664 nucleotides) under uncultured cyanobacterium. Its description in RNAcentral is "bacterial SSU rRNA". It matches the Rfam family "Bacterial small subunit ribosomal RNA", at positions 99 to 795 of the family's 1533-position model. The record is from RNAcentral. Lineage: Bacteria; Bacillati; Cyanobacteriota.
CGGACGGGUGAGUAACGCGUGAGAAUCUGCCCUUAGGACGGGGACAACAGCUGGAAACGGCUGCUAAUACCCGAUGUGCCGAGAGGUGAAACAUUUUAUGGCCUGAGGAUGAGCUCGCGUCUGAUUAGCUAGUUGGUGGGGUAAGAGCCUACCAAGGCGACGAUCAGUAGCUGGUCUGAGAGGAUGAUCAGCCACACUGGGACUGAGACACGGCCCAGACUCCUACGGGAGGCAGCAGUGGGGAAUUUUCCGCAAUGGGCGCAAGCCUGACGGAGCAAGACCGCGUGCGGGAGGACGGCCUAUUGGUUGUAAACCGCUUUUGAUAGGGAAGAAGUUCUGACGGUACCUAUCGAAUCAGCAUCGGCUAACUCCGUGCCAGCAGCCGCGGUAAUACGGAGGAUGCAAGCGUUAUCCGGAAUUAUUGGGCGUAAAGCGUCCGUAGGUGGUUGUUCAAGUCUGCUGUUAAAGCGUGCGGCUUAACCGCAUACCAGCAGUGGAAACUGGGCGACUAGAGUGCGGUAGGGGUCAGGGGAAUUCCCAGUGUAGCGGUGAAAUGCGUAGAUAUUGGGAAGAACACCGGUGGCGAAAGCGCCUGACUGGACCUGCACUGACACUAGAGGGACGAAAGCUAGGGGAGCGAAAGGGAUUAGAUACCCCUGUAGUC